Molecule: ribosomal RNA, 497 nt
Filed under: uncultured bacterium
Lineage: Bacteria
Description: partial 16S ribosomal RNA
Rfam family: Bacterial small subunit ribosomal RNA
Source: RNAcentral
GACGAACGCUGGCGGCGUGCCUAAUACAUGCAAGUUGAGCGAUGAAGAUUGGUGCUUGCACCAAUUUGAAGAGCAGCGAACGGGUGAGUAACGCGUGGGGAAUCUGCCUUUGAGCGGGGGACAACAUUUGGAAACGAAUGCUAAUACCGCAUAACAACUUUAAACAUAAGUUUUAAGUUUGAAAGAUGCAAUUGCAUCACUCAAAGAUGAUCCCGCGUUGUAUUAGCUAGUUGGUGAGGUAAAGGCUCACCAAGGCGAUGAUACAUAGCCGACCUGAGAGGGUGAUCGGCCACAUUGGGACUGAGACACGGCCCAAACUCCUACGGGAGGAAGCAGUAGGGAAUCUUCGGCAAUGGACGAAAGUCUGGCCGAGCAACGCCGCGUGAGUGAAGAAGGUUUUCGGAUCGUAAAACUCGGUUGGUAGAGGAGAACGUUGGUGAGAGUGGAAAGCUCAUCAAGUGACGGUAACUACCCAGAAAGGGACGGCUAACUACGUG